Molecule: long non-coding RNA, 250 nt
Organism: Sphaeramia orbicularis (orbiculate cardinalfish)
Lineage: Eukaryota; Metazoa; Chordata; Actinopteri; Kurtiformes; Apogonidae
Exons: 3
Source: RefSeq, a predicted model, not a curated record
CAAUGACCUUUCCUUCCAUGCUCUUCAUUCUCUGAAGUGAAGACAAACAGUUCUUGUAAUUUAGCUGCUAGUGUUUUACUUUUGGCCUUGAACAUAACAAGUAAUGUCUGUAACUUAACUAGCUCCUGUCAUUUCAAUAAUCCAGAAUUAAUAAAUAAUAUAUUAGUGUGUUCCUGAUAAUCUGCUUUAUGGAUAAUUCUGAUAGCUCUCUUCUGUAGGAGAUACAACGGCUUUAAUAUAAUUGAAUUAG